RNAcentral lists this ribosomal RNA (497 nucleotides) under uncultured bacterium. Its description in RNAcentral is "partial 16S ribosomal RNA". It matches the Rfam family "Bacterial small subunit ribosomal RNA", at positions 28 to 507 of the family's 1533-position model. The record is from RNAcentral.
GAUGAAUGCUGGCGGCGUGCCUAAUACAUGCAAGUCGAGCGAACAGACGAGGAGCUUGCUUCUCUGACGUUAGCGGCGGACGGGUGAGUAACACGUGGAUAACCUACCUAUAAGACUGGGAUAACUUCGGGAAACCGGAGCUAAUACCGGAUAAUAUAUUGAACCGCAUGGUUCAAUAGUGAAAGACGGUUUUGCUGUCACUUAUAGAUGGAUCCGCGCCGCAUUAGCUAGUUGGUAAGGUAACGGCUUACCAAGGCAACGAUGCGUAGCCGACCUGAGAGGGUGAUCGGCCACACUGGAACUGAGACACGGUCCAGACUCCUACGGGAGGCAGCAGUAGGGAAUCUUCCGCAAUGGGCGAAAGCCUGACGGAGCAACGCCGCGUGAGUGAUGAAGGUCUUCGGAUCGUAAAACUCUGUUAUUAGGGAAGAACAAAUGUGUAAGUAACUAUGCACGUCUUGACGGUACCUAAUCAGAAAGCCACGGCUAACUACGUG